CCUUGUUUUGCCUAAUCUAGUUCAGUUGAAAUAGAGUGGUGAAAAAAAACAGAGUUUAACAUUUUUGCUAAUGGGGAAAAAUAUAAAACACUUAUGGCUAUUUUAAAAACCUAUUGAAUACCAAAGUGCCAAUUUAUUUAGUUAAAUGUUUUCAGUAUCCAACAUGAGUAUCAACAUAACUCGACAUAACAACACGCUGCUUCAAUUAAGGAAAUAAACCGCUUUGUGCUGU
Non-coding RNA from Pelobates cultripes (western spadefoot toad), 232 nucleotides. NCBI's taxonomy places the organism in Eukaryota, Metazoa, Chordata, Amphibia, Anura, Pelobatidae. The record is from the annotation of a GenBank genome assembly.